CAGUAGCCACGGUAAUACGGAGGGGGCUAGCGUUGUUCGGAAUUACUGGGCGUAAAGCGCACGUAGGCGGCUUGGUAAGUUAGAGGUGAAAGCCUGGAGCUCAACUCCAGAAUUGCCUUUAAGACUGCCGAGCUAGCAGGUGAGAGAGGUAAGUGGAAUUCCGAGUGUAGAGGUGAAAUUCAUAGAUAUUCGGAAGAACACCAGUGGCGAAGGCGGCUUACUGGCUCAUACUGGACGCUGAGGUGCGAAAGCGUGGGGAGCAAACAGGAUUAGAUACCCCGGUAGUCCCUGUCUCUUAUAC
This 301-nucleotide ribosomal RNA is filed under the name uncultured bacterium. RNAcentral's name for it is "partial 16S ribosomal RNA". It matches the Rfam family "Bacterial small subunit ribosomal RNA", at positions 509 to 807 of the family's 1533-position model. The record is from RNAcentral.